CGGGCGGGGGCCCGCGGUGGGGGCGACCCGGGGCGGCGGCGCCGAGCGGGUUAAGUGGCUCCCUGGAAGUCCUACGGUCCCAGCAACGGGCCGGCCAAUGGGAAGUGAGCCGGCUGAUGUCACUGGCAGCACUCCGCCAAUCAGCGCCCGGUCCCGAAAGUCUGCUGUACCAGAGGAGGAUGACAGAGAACAAUACUACUCAGCAGAUGCCAAUGAGGAUACAGUCUGUGAGCUGAUUUCAUCUGCUUCUCCGGUUUCUGAAGGUAUGAGUAGGAAUUUUCUUAAUUAUCUUCUUCCCCUCUUUGCUUAUGAAAUAAAUGUGCUUUGUGGAAAAUGUAUUGAUACUGGAGUGAAUACAGUAAGAGUUUGUUCUUUGCAACUGAUGCAAAUUUCAUUUUAUUUUGAUCAGUUGUUACAGACCUUGCAAAUGCUCACAGGUGCAAUUGGGAAGUUUGUGUAUGGAAG
This 465-nucleotide long non-coding RNA is filed under the name Zonotrichia albicollis (white-throated sparrow). RNAcentral's name for it is "lncRNA (ENSZALG00000011011.1)". The record is from RNAcentral. Lineage: Eukaryota; Metazoa; Chordata; Aves; Passeriformes; Passerellidae.